This 492-nucleotide ribosomal RNA is filed under the name uncultured bacterium. Its description in RNAcentral is "partial 16S ribosomal RNA". It matches the Rfam family "Bacterial small subunit ribosomal RNA", at positions 29 to 507 of the family's 1533-position model. The record is from RNAcentral.
AGUGAACGCUGGCGGUAGGCCUAACACAUGCAAGUCGAACGGCAGCACAGUAAGAGCUUGCUCUUACGGGUGGCGAGUGGCGGACGGGUGAGGAAUACAUCGGAAUCUACUUUUUCGUGGGGGAUAACGUAGGGAAACUUACGCUAAUACCGCAUACGACCUACGGGUGAAAGCAGGGGAUCUUCGGACCUUGCGCGAUUGAAUGAGCCGAUGUCGGAUUAGCUAGUUGGCGGGGUAAAGGCCCACCAAGGCGACGAUCCGUAGCUGGUCUGAGAGGAUGAACAGCCACACUGGAACUGAGACCCGGUCCAGACUCCUAAGGGAGGCAGCCGUGGGGAAUAUUGGACAAUGGGCGCAAGCCUGAUCCAGCCAUACCGCGUGGGUGAAGAAGGCCUUCGGGUUGUAAAACCCUUUUGUUGGGAAAGAAAAGCAGCAGGUUAAUACCCCGCUGUUCUGACGGUACCCAAAGAAUAAGCACCGGCUAACUUCGUG